CAGGCAGGUGUGUUGAGGCAAGUUGGAGCUAAAGACUCUGCAGGAUACUGGCCCUCCAGGACCGACCUGUUUUAGGGUUUACAAAAAAUGUUCGUAAAAUUAGUGCAUAAUGUCCUGGCAGAAAAGAAAAUCACCACUACAUAUUCUGUUUUGUUUUUUAACAGUGUAAGUUGAUGUUUCUGAUUCCAGAAAUGUGUUAAACUUCUGUUAAUUUUCUCAUAAAGACCCUCCCCUUUGAAAAGCUAUAAAAUGAGCACUGAAACAGACACGUUAUUCCAUUCAGCUCCUGAUCAAAGAUGGAUCUGCAAAUCUCAGUAUUUCUUCUGUUCGUUCUCUUCACUGCAGGACACUCUCUCAGAUGUUAUGAGUGUAUGGGUCUGACGGGUUCUUGUGCGGAUCAAAAUGUGGCAACAUGUCCCAGUGGAUUUUCCAAGUGCAUGAGUUCAACAACAGUGACACAAGCUGGUCCCAUUAAGGUGUCCAUCAAAAUUAAACGGUGUGCACUUACAUGUGAAGCUGGGACUCAACAGCUCCCGACUGGAGGGACAAUAACUACCCAGUGCUGUGACACUGACCUCUGCAAUGCAGCAGGUGGCGUGUAUAAGGGGAGCUACCUCCUGCUGUUGUCUCCUCUGCUCUUCUACUUCCUGUUUCAGUGAGUCCAGCUGCAGCAGAAACUGAAAGUCACAUUUCCAUAUUUUACUGAAUAAAGUGUACAUGUUGUUCUGCUGUUCUUUAGGAUGAUGAUUUGGGGGAUUAAACAAAAUAGUGCAUCAACUAGUGUAACACACAAAUAAUUAUUAAAAAGAAAAACAAAAUGAAUAUAUGAUGAGUUUGCAAUAUCUGCAGUAAUUUUGUGGAGUAAUAAUAUUUGCAGUUAAGACU
RNAcentral lists this long non-coding RNA (885 nucleotides) under Sinocyclocheilus grahami. RNAcentral describes it as "lncRNA (ENSSGRG00000008092.1)". Lineage: Eukaryota; Metazoa; Chordata; Actinopteri; Cypriniformes; Cyprinidae. The record is from RNAcentral.